CAGCCGCCGCGGGAAUACAGAGGCCUCAAGCGUUGUUCGGAUUCAUUGGGCGUAAAGGGUGCGUAGGCGGUCGGGUAAGUCGGAUGUGAAAUCCUGGGGCUCAACCUCAGAACUGCAUUCGAUACUGCUUGGCUAGAGGACUGGAGAGGAGAUCGGAAUUCACGGUGUAGCAGUGAAAUGCGUAGAUAUCGUGAGGAAGACCAGUGGCGAAGGCGGAUCUCUGGACAGUUCCUGACGCUGAUGCACGAAGGCUAGGGGAGCAAACGGGAUUAGAUACCCCUGUAGUCCCUGUCUCUUAUAC
This 301-nucleotide ribosomal RNA is filed under the name uncultured bacterium. RNAcentral's name for it is "partial 16S ribosomal RNA". It matches the Rfam family "Bacterial small subunit ribosomal RNA", at positions 509 to 807 of the family's 1533-position model. The record is from RNAcentral.